This 465-nucleotide ribosomal RNA is filed under the name uncultured organism. Its description in RNAcentral is "bacterial SSU rRNA". It matches the Rfam family "Bacterial small subunit ribosomal RNA", at positions 28 to 507 of the family's 1533-position model. The record is from RNAcentral.
GACGAACGCUGGCGGCGUGCUUAACACAUGCAAGUCGAACGGUAAGGCCCUUUCGGGGGUACACGAGUGGCGAACGGGUGAGUAACACGUGAGUAACCUGCCCCUAACUCUGGGAUAACUCCUGGAAACAGGUGCUAAUACCGGAUAUUUAGCUGGGACUGCAUGGUCCUGGUUGGAAAGCUCCGGCGGUUAGGGAUGGACUCGCGGCCUAUCAGCUUGUUGGUGAGGUAAUGGCUCACCAAGGCUUCGACGGGUAGCCGGCCUGAGAGGGUGACCGGCCACAUUGGGACUGAGAUACGGCCCAAACUCCUACGGGAGGCAGCAGUGGGGAAUAUUGCACAAUGGGCGGAAGCCUGAUGCAGCAACGCCGCGUGCGGGAUGACGGCCUUCGGGUUGUAAACCGCUUUCAUCCAUGACGAAGCGAGAGUGACGGUAGUGGGAGAAGAAGCACCGGCUAACUACGUG